AUUGUAUUGUAGUUUCUUCUAUUUUGAGUAGUCUUUUAAAAACAGCCGCCCAAUUCCGGGUCACGUGCAGAGCUCUUAAUUUAGUUUGGGCCACCAGGUGGGCGUGUGUCAUGGCUGCGUCUUCCUGUCUGUGGACAGGUAACCUGCUGUUGAGACUGUAGGCCUCCCUGAAGGACGUACAAAGAAAGAACACAGAGAUCAUGUUUAAAGUCACUGAAGUGGCACCUGUCUUCCCUUCGUUCAACAUUACUGACUUUAGUUAAACCAAAUGAGGGAACCAACGCCUCCAGACGGUGAUACUGCCUUGAAAAGAUGGAGAAUACUUGCAAAGCACGAAAAUCCUUAUCGGACUAAAGUGGACUCUAAUACGAAUUACAUGCAAAUAUUUUGGAGAAGGGAGUUUACUGAACUGAAGAAGCGGACUUGUAUCCCUGAAUCAUCUUCAGCAAGAGGACUUCUGUUGGUCCUGUUAGCGCACCCAGAUCUGCUGGUUUUCCCUCCUUGCAUGGAUCAUGUAUCACCUGUGCAGCUGUUCUUAAGCAUCCUGUCCUGUGUCUCCCUCUGCACACUAAAGAGAAAAUAAAUCCACAUGCUGACACUGCCACAAUGAAUGGUCCGGGCCACCGUCCCAUCAACCAUCUCUCCCAGCUCGGAAACAGAAGAAGUAGAAAAAGAAAAAAAGGAUAAUAGAUGUUGGAUCAGAGGACGGAGCAUCUCUUUUCCAUCUAACCCAUCUUUGCUAUGAAAGAAUAAAUUAAACUGGAAAAGAAAGAAG
Amphiprion ocellaris (clown anemonefish) is the source of this 775-nucleotide long non-coding RNA. The record is from Ensembl. Lineage: Eukaryota; Metazoa; Chordata; Actinopteri; Pomacentridae.